GCACCGUUGGCUCAGUUGGUAGAGCAGCGUCCUCUUAAGUCGAAGGUCCUCGGUUCGAGUCCGAGACGGUGUA
This 73-nucleotide transfer RNA is filed under the name Nocardioides sp. Root614. It matches the Rfam family "tRNA". From Rfam's summary of the family: Transfer RNA (tRNA) molecules are approximately 80 nucleotides in length. The record is from Rfam by way of RNAcentral. Lineage: Bacteria; Bacillati; Actinomycetota; Actinomycetes; Propionibacteriales; Nocardioidaceae.